This 1366-nucleotide long non-coding RNA is filed under the name Mytilus galloprovincialis (Mediterranean mussel). The record is from RNAcentral. Lineage: Eukaryota; Metazoa; Mollusca; Bivalvia; Mytilida; Mytilidae.
CAUUCCCUGAAUGUCGCAGCAACUAGGAGAUAUAUACUACAUACAAAAACUGAAAGCUGAAAUCACAAAUACCGAAUAUUCGAAAUAUUUGAUAUCUGUACUUUUUAUGCAUUCAUCGUAAAAGGAAUGAGACAUAUUUCAAACUGUUCUAAACAUAAAGGCAACAGUAUAGUAUAACGGUGUUCAAAUCGCAAAAAUCGAUUAAAAAACAAAUGAGGGCAAAAACAAAAACUGUAUACCAAUUCGUGACGUUAAUCGUAAGAUUCCAGUAGAUCUUCUUCGCAUUUAUAAUACCUCUGUUAGAACAGUUUUUGUGUAAGGAGCAUAUACCUGUUAAUGACGUCCAUAUAGUUUCAACAGGCGUAACGUAUUACCUUAGAAGUAGCAAAUGAAAUGUUACUGCCAAGAAAUUGAGAGUUUGAGAAUUUGAGAAUUGAAAUAAUAGCGUUUGAACUCGUGCAUAUGUGUCAAUAUCGAGAAAAACAUCAAGUAAUAAAGCAGAAAAUAUCAUGUCGGUGAAAAAUGUCAAUCUCAAGUUCUCCAGGGAAAAUAUGGGAAUCAUGUACCCAUUCAAAUGGGAGUUGUUGAGUGAUAGAACAUAAACAAUAUAUCUGAAAGUGAAAUUAAGGAACGUUGCAAGGUACUUUUUCUUUUUGUCCUUGAUAAUAUCUGUAUGAUUUUCGAAAGCAAUUCGGCCAUUAGUGGUGCAAAUUAGUAUUAUAUAGAUGAUGUUCCCUCACUAAUAUUUAAAUUUUGGUGACUAUGUUAAACACAUCUAUCCCAUCGAACAUUGAGAUGAAAGAUACAACAAAUAAGUUAAAGUCUGCCUCAUAUCUAGACUUACAUCUAGAACUUGACAAUAAGGGUCGGUUGAAAACAAAAACUUUACAACCAAAGAAAUGAUUUCAGCUUCCCAAUUGUGAACUUUCCAUUUCUUUGGAUCAACAUUCCAGCAGCGCCUGCAUACGACGUAUUUAUCUCCCAAUUGAUACAAUAUUCCCAGGCUUUUAUGUCCUAUCAUGGGUUUUCUUGAUAGAAGGUUGCUGCUCACGAGGAAGCUAAUAAAAGAGUUCACAAUGGUGAAGUUGAAAUUAUCCCUUCGUAAAUUUUAUUGACGCCAUCACGAGUCCGUUGACUGUAUGGAAUACUAGUAGCGGAUAUGAAACCACAAUACCUUCCCCUUUUCACGAAUGUGACCUACCAAAUAAGACUUAUUUCCGUGUUUGUACUAACAUUUGCAGCAUGACGAAUGCCACAUGUGGAGCAUGAUCUGCUUACAUUUCGAAGCACACACGAUCACCCCCAGGUUUUGGUGGGGUUCAUGUUGCUAAGUCUAAUCUUUUACUUAAAAUACCAUACGAACCAG